Non-coding RNA from Danio rerio (zebrafish), 72 nucleotides. Lineage: Eukaryota; Metazoa; Chordata; Actinopteri; Cypriniformes; Danionidae. The record is from Rfam.
CCCAGUGUCAUUUUUGUGAUUUGCAGCUAGUAGUCUGGGUCCAGUUGCAUAGUCACAAAAAUGAUCAUUGGU